RNAcentral lists this ribosomal RNA (253 nucleotides) under uncultured bacterium. Its description in RNAcentral is "partial 16S ribosomal RNA". It matches the Rfam family "Bacterial small subunit ribosomal RNA", at positions 524 to 776 of the family's 1533-position model. The record is from RNAcentral.
UACGAAGGGGGCUAGCGUUGCUCGGAAUCACUGGGCGUAAAGCGCGCGUAGGCGGUUUUGUAAGUCGGGUGUGAAAUCCCCAAGCUUAACUUGGGAACUGCAUUCGAGACUGCAUAGCUAGAGUAUGGGAGAGGGAAGUGGAAUUUCAGGUGUAGCGGUGAAAUGCGUAGAUAUCUGAAGGAACAUCAGUGGCGAAAGCGACUUCCUGGACCAAUACUGACGCUCAUGUGCGAAAGCGUGGGGAGCAAACAGG